CGAAGAACCUUACCAGGCCUUGACAUGCAGACGAACUUCCAGAGAUGGAUUGGUGCCUUCGGGAACUCUGACACAGGUGCUGCAUGGCUGUCGUCAGCUCGUGUCGUGAGAUGUUGGGUUAAGUCCCGUAACGAGCGCAACCCUUGUCCUUAGUUACCAGCACGUUAUGGUGGGCACUCUAAGGAGACUGCCGGUGACAAACCGGAGGAAGGUGGGGGUGACGUCAAGUCAUCAUGGCCCUUACGGCCUGGGCUACACACGUGCUACAAUGGUCGGUACAAAGGGUUGCCAAGCCGCGAGGUGGAGCUAAUCCCAUAAAACCGAUCGUAGUCCGGAUCGCAGUCUGCAACUCGACUGCGUGAAGUCGGAAUCGCUAGUAAUCGUGAAUCAGAAUGUCACGGUGAAUACGUUCCCGGGCCUU
Molecule: ribosomal RNA, 421 nt
Filed under: uncultured Pseudomonas sp.
Lineage: Bacteria; Pseudomonadati; Pseudomonadota; Gammaproteobacteria; Pseudomonadales; Pseudomonadaceae
Description: bacterial SSU rRNA
Rfam family: Bacterial small subunit ribosomal RNA
Source: RNAcentral